AACAAUAUAAAGUAAUAAGUUUAUUUAGAAUAAUUCUAUAACUUAAUACAUAGUAAAUAAAAUAUUCUAAUUAUUUUACUAUCAUCACUAUUUACUUAAUUAUUCAAUUACUUAUUUAUUUUCAUUGUUAUUGUUUAUUCCCAUUAUUAUUAUUUAUUCUAUCAUUGUUGUUUAUUGUUAAUAUUAUUUAUUUAAUUGCAUUUGAGUAUGAAUUUCUAAUUGUGCAUUGCAUUUCGAUGUUUAACUUUGAAAUAUUUCUGCACUUAAUUGAAAUGCUUGAUUAGUUGUGAUGUGACAAUGCCUUGCUUUGUUUGUGUGGAAUUGGGAUGAAGUGGGUCACCAUGGGUUUGUGAGACUGUUUCUGUUAUACGGAUCUUGAUUCUGAUUCUGUUAUAUUCUGAUUCUGUUAUAUGGAUCCUGAUUCUGUUUCUGUUAGCCGGGUAAAUGGGAGAUCGGCGCCCCCGUGUGCACCUACCGUUACCGUNN
RNAcentral lists this long non-coding RNA (486 nucleotides) under Jatropha curcas. RNAcentral's name for it is "long non-coding RNA (JCUR_LNC001513)". The record is from RNAcentral. Lineage: Eukaryota; Viridiplantae; Streptophyta; Magnoliopsida; Malpighiales; Euphorbiaceae.